Molecule: ribosomal RNA, 491 nt
Filed under: uncultured bacterium
Lineage: Bacteria
Description: bacterial SSU rRNA
Rfam family: Bacterial small subunit ribosomal RNA
Source: RNAcentral
GAUGAACGCUAGCUACAGGCUUAACACAUGCAAGUCGAGGGCAGCAUGAACUUAGCUUGCUAAGUUUGAUGGCGACCGGCGCACGGGUGAGUAACACGUAUCCAACCUGCCGAUGACUCGGGGAUAGCCUUUCGAAAGAAAGAUUAAUACCCGAUGGCAUAGUUCUUCCGCAUGGUAGAACUAUUAAAGGAUUUCGGUCAUCGAUGGGGAUGCGUUCCAUUAGGUUGUUGGCGGGGUAACGGCCCACCAAGCCUUCGAUGGAUGGGGGUUCUGAGAGGAAGGUCCCCCCACAUUGGAACUGAGACACGGUCCAAACUCCUACGGGAGGCAGCAGUGAGGAAUAUUGGUCAAUGGGCGAGAGCCUGAACCAGCCAAGUAGCGUGAAGGAUGAAGGUCCUACGGAUUGUAAAACUUCUUUUAUACGGGAAUAAAGUAUCCUACGUGUCCUUUUUUUGUAUGUACCCUAUGAAUAAGCAUCGGCUAACUCCGUG